RNAcentral lists this RNase P RNA (210 nucleotides) under Duncaniella sp. RNAcentral's name for it is "partial RNase P RNA component class A". It matches the Rfam family "Bacterial RNase P class A", at positions 1 to 202 of the family's 367-position model. Rfam says of the family: Ribonuclease P (RNase P) is a ubiquitous endoribonuclease, found in archaea, bacteria and eukarya as well as chloroplasts and mitochondria. Its best characterised activity is the generation of mature 5'-ends of tRNAs by cleaving the 5'-leader elements of precursor-tRNAs. The record is from RNAcentral. Lineage: Bacteria; Pseudomonadati; Bacteroidota; Bacteroidia; Bacteroidales; Muribaculaceae.
GUAGCAGGACGGUCGUGUCGCUUGCCGAUGGGUUAACCGGAGCGGCAAGAGGAAAGUCCGGGCAACACAGAGCACCAUACUUUCUAACAGUGAGCUGUCGGUGACGGCAGAGUAACGUGACAGAAAAUAACAACCUUUAUUCCUCAUGAUAAAGGAAAUGGUGAAAAGGUGGGGUAAGAGCCCACCGGAUACCAUGGUAACAUGGUAUGC